CCAGAUGAUCAUAAUCUCCUGA
RNAcentral lists this microRNA (22 nucleotides) under Malus domestica (apple). RNAcentral's name for it is "mdm-miR11019". Lineage: Eukaryota; Viridiplantae; Streptophyta; Magnoliopsida; Rosales; Rosaceae. The record is from miRBase by way of RNAcentral.